GGUAGCAGAAAAACACUAUCACGUGACCUUAUUAAGGGCUGUGAUUGGUCAGUUUGCGUUCUGGCGGGAACGGUUCGAAGAAGUUGCCGAUUCGAAUAAUGAUCAGUCACGUGAUGACAAGGUUAAUGUUUUCCGCUAUGUUCGCGUUUGUUUAUAUUUAAAUGAGAAGAAUGGCGAUAGCAGUUUUGUAUCUGGUGACGUUAAUGCAACUAUUUAUGAUACAGAGAACUUCAAUGAGAGCGAUGACUUAUAACAUUCUCAAUGUCGGGGAAACACUUAGAAGAUCGUAAAAAGAAGAGUUCUGCCAGGCUUUCAUGAGUCAGAUGAGAACACACUGGGACAGAGAUUUCUAUGGUUGAAUGCUCUUCCUGACACCAACAGUCACCUAUUCCAAGCAAGGUAAUAAUUCAUCAAUCUAUUGAACAACAAACAGCCCUGAUAUUGUUACAUGGAAAACUAAAAACAAACGAGUCUUGUUACAUGGUGGACUGCAUAUAAAUGACACUACAUAUAGUGAAGUCAUUCUUUACAAUCAGCAAACACAUGAAAACAAGGGUUGUAUAUCAAAUAUUUUAUUCAACUGAGUGCUUGUUCACAUCAGCAUGUCUUAUUCACUGUUUCCCAUAUUGGAGACAACAAAUUGCAUUGAAAAGGCCCAAAAGAGGCCGAAAUGCAUCUGAUGUUUUUGUUGGGCCCCCACUGAGGUGAUUUUUUUUUACCUCUCCCUACAAUAUUUGUUUUUAAAACAGCACAUUCAUAAGAGACAUUAUCUCAGGUCAAACGCUAUGACAGUUUAAGUAUAGUACUGUACAUAUGCUAAGUAUGAUACUGAUGGAUGCCUAAACAAGGUAGAUUUUUACACUAAAAAAAUCAUUUACCUCUCUGAAUAGGAAGUUAAUAGUCUGAAAAAUUAUCAUAUUGACAACACCAUCAUCAUCUGUUUCCCAUACUGACAUAAGUGAAAAGGUUCAACUGGAUUCAAUGGAUGGGAAGACUUGCAUUAUUAUCGUCCUCUCACAAAUUUGUUUUAUUCAUCAUGGUCUGCCCUCUUUCACUUUGCAAGGCAAUCGCAAAAUUGCAGUGCUACAAAGAAAACAUCCAUUGCAAUGAUUGGCAAAUUCAUUCAAGCAGUGACAAUACAGAGCUUGAGAGGGCUCUUCCAUCUUGCUGACAGCAAGUAAACCCCUACAGUGUUGGGUGAUGACAAAAAUGAACUCUGUACAUAUUGUAACAUGGUUGGUAUUAGAAAGGGCAUUCAACAAUAGAAACCUUGUCAAAAAAGGAGACAUUGGAGCUACCUGAAUAUUAUUUUAUAACAUUCUCCAGAUGCCAUAUAUUUACGGCAGUAAUUCUCAAAUGGUAGGCCACAGAACAUAGCUGCACUGGAUUUUAAAAAAAUUAAGUUUUAGAAAAUCUAUACUAAUAGUUGAGCAUCUUGAAAAACAUUAUUCACUAUUUUACUACACACAAAUACUAAUAAGAUUAGGUGUGCAAUAGUUUCCUAUAUUUUUCCUUCUAGAUUUGUGACUUUAAAACAUUUUAAA
Long non-coding RNA from Octopus bimaculoides (California two-spot octopus), 1544 nucleotides. The record is from RefSeq and is a predicted model, not a curated record. Lineage: Eukaryota; Metazoa; Mollusca; Cephalopoda; Octopoda; Octopodidae.